RNAcentral lists this transfer RNA (75 nucleotides) under Thermoplasmata archaeon. RNAcentral's name for it is "tRNA-Arg". It matches the Rfam family "tRNA". From Rfam's summary of the family: Transfer RNA (tRNA) molecules are approximately 80 nucleotides in length. Their secondary structure includes four short double-helical elements and three loops (D, anti-codon, and T loops). Further hydrogen bonds mediate the characteristic L-shaped molecular structure. tRNAs have two regions of fundamental functional importance: the anti-codon, which is responsible for specific mRNA codon recognition, and the 3' end, to which the tRNAs corresponding amino acid is attached (by aminoacyl-tRNA synthetases). tRNAs cope with the degeneracy of the genetic code in two manners: having more than one tRNA (with a specific anti-codon) for a particular amino acid; and 'wobble' base-pairing, i.e. permitting non-standard base-pairing at the 3rd anti-codon position. RNAcentral also lists the same sequence under 3 other names. The record is from RNAcentral. Lineage: Archaea; Methanobacteriati; Thermoplasmatota; Thermoplasmata.
GGGCCCGUGGCCUAGUCUGGAUAAGGCACUGGCCUUCUAAGCCAGUGAUCCCGGGUUCAAAUCCCGGCGGGCCCG